This is a non-coding RNA of Ictidomys tridecemlineatus (thirteen-lined ground squirrel), 6884 nucleotides long. Lineage: Eukaryota; Metazoa; Chordata; Mammalia; Rodentia; Sciuridae. The record is from RefSeq and is a predicted model, not a curated record.
GGGUCAGCGGCUGGAGCGUCACUCCCAGCGUCCCCGCAGAUUUGCAUUGGUUCCAGCCUGGAGCUUAGUGGCAGGCAUGAGUUGGUCUCUGGGUUUGUUUCGCGCCUUGUGGAGAGCGCUGUCUAAGGAGGUGAAGGAACACGUGGGCACAGACCACCUCGGAAACAAGUACUACUUCAUCCCGGAGUACAAGAACUGGAGAGGACAAACUAUUCGAGAAAAAAGGAUUGUAGAAACAGCAAAUAAAAAAGAAACAGACUAUGAAGUGGGGGAUAUCCCAACAGAAUGGGAAGCUUGGAUAAGACGAACAAGAAAAGUUCCACCUACAAUGGAGGAAAUAUUAAAGAAUGAGAAAUAUAGAGAAGAAAUGAAAAUUAAAAGUCAAGAUUUUUAUGAAAAAGAAAAACUCCUUAGUAAAGAGACCAUCAAGGAACACUUGCCUCCACCUGUUCAAACUCACAUUAAAGGGCAUGCAUCUGCUCCAUACUUUGGAAAGGAAGAACCCUCAGAGGCACCCACCAGCACUGGUAAAACCUUUCAGCCAGGAUCUUGGAUGCCACAAGAUGGCAAGAGCCAAAAUCAAUGAAUUGCACUGAUGAAAUCAUUAAAUUUACAUGGAUAUAGCAAUUUUAACAAAUAAAAGGGUCUCACUCUGUUGUCCAGGCUGACUUUGAAUUUCUGGGCCCGAGACAUCCUACUGCUUCAGCUUCCCUAAUAACUGGAACUACAGGCAAAAAUAUAUCUCCCUUCUGAACUCCAAUCUUCUCUAACCAGUGGGCUACAGAAGAUCACCUCUGAGAUAUCUAACCAACGUCUCGAACACACAUGUCUUGGGCCAAGCUCCUGGCAUUCUCCCUUCAACCUAUUUGUCUCCCAUCUUUCCCAUCUCAGUCAAUGGCAGUGAUGUCCUUCCUGUUGCUCAAGUGUGUCUCCUGGUCUAAGCAGCUUUGCCUUCUCUCUCACACAUCUCUCAGUGUUAGCAAGUCCUGGUGGUGCUACUUUCCAAUGGCCACUACUUGCCACACCAUUGCUACCACAUUGCUACUACUCUUGUCCAAGCCUCCAUCAGCCUCCUCAGGAUUACUACUGGGGCCUUAAGAAGGCCUCCCUGCCUCCUCCCAGGCUCCCCUUCAGUGGUUCUCAGCACAGUGACCAGGGCAGUCCUACUACAAACAGAUCUCUCCUGUUCCCUCUCCAGCCAUGCAGGACUCCUCACAGCUCUUCAAACGGGCAUGAACUUUGUGUCCCUCUGCCCAGUAGGCUCCUGCCAAAGCAGGCACAUGACUAGUUUCCUCACUGCCUUCACUCCUUCGUUUUUUGCUUAUUUAAUCUACUUAUUUAUUUUACUGUCUUUUUUCCUACCAUAAUGCAUGUUCCAUUAGGGCAGAGGUUUUUGCUCCUUGGAAUCAUGUCUGGUGCACAGCAAUUGAAUUUUGAAAUAAUGAAAACACAAAAAAGACCUAAAUAAAUGGAGAUACAGUGUUUCAAUGGAUAGGAAAACUCAGAAUAUAAAGAUACCAGUUGUCCUCGAGUUGAUCUACAGAUUCAUAAUUUCACUAAAAAAUCCCAGGAGUUUUUCAAAGAACUUGAUAAAUUGAAUCUUAACAUUUAUUGAUGAAUACAGCCUAAGGAUAGCUAUUCACUCAUAAAGAAUAAGUUUGGAGAAUCUGACCUUCUACAUGUCAAAUUUUUAAAACCAAGUAUUGUGCUACAUACCUGUAAUCUCAGCAACUUGAGAGGCUAAGGCAGGAGGAUCACAAGCUUGAGGCCAGACUGAGCAACUUAGCAAUAUCCUGUCUCAAAAAUAAAAAUGGGUGGGGAUGUAAUUCUUUGAUAAAAUAACUUAGGUUCAAUCCCCAGUAUGAAAGAAAGAAAGAGAGGGAGGGAAGGAGGAAAGGAAGAAAAAACUGUUUCAUAAAGUUACAGUAAAACAUAUGAAGUAGUAUUGGUUUAGGACUAGACAGAUUGACCAUAGAACAAAUAGAAAACCUGAAAACUGACCUAUAAGUAUGGAACCCUAUUAUAAGACAGAGGUAACAUUGCAAUCAUUGGAGAUACCAGAAAGGGUAUUCAAUAAAUAAAGAUUGGAUAAUUGAUUAUUCACAAGAGAAAAAAAGUGAAAUUGGAUUCUUAUCGCACAUGAUGCAUACAAUUAAUUCCAGGAGAAUUAAAUAGCAAAACCUUGAACGUUUCAAGCAGGAAAUAGAAGAGCAUAUUUUAAUGACUUUAGGAUAAGAGAGACCUUACUCAAAAAGGCCCCCUAAAAGUGCUAACUGCAAAGAAGACACUUAUAAAUCUCUUUACAUGAAAAAUGAGAUAUAUUUGUUCAUGAAGAGAUAUUAGAAAGAAAGUGAAAAUAUACAUAACAAAAUAAGAUAUGUGAAACAAACAUAAUGGGCAAAUGAUUAUUAUCCAGAAUAUAUAAUAAACCCCUAAAAGUCAAUAAAAAGUGUGAAUACCUCAAAAUGAAAAUAGGCAAAGGGCGUUAAAAAGCCUUCACAGAGGCAGAAACACAAAUGACCAGCAUGCAAAAUAAUAUGCUUAAUUUCAUUAGUAAUCAGAACAUUUCAAAAAUUCAAAUUUGCAAUGUAAAUCCCUAGAUUUUUUAUUUCACUAAUAUCAUAAAACAAGUGUGAGCACAGAUAUGGAACACAUUCUGCUCCGCAGCAUUUAGGCCAUCAUAGGAAAGACAAUUUGGUAUUAACAUCUAAAGGUAUUGGCAUGUGUAUCAGAAGACCUAUUUAGGAAUGUGUAUAGCAGCAUUGUUUAUAAUCACAAAAAUCUAAUCAUCACCCUUAAGGAAACAUGGUUUUUAAGGAGCUAGAAAGGACUUAGAUGUCCACUGAUGAAAUGAAAAAAUGAGUUUAUUUGUAUGAAAAAAUAAUGUUUAUUAUUAGCAUAAAAUAUAUAUAUAGUAUUCAUACAAUAGAUUUUAUAUCAGUGAAAAAUGGGUGAACCAGGACUAUACGUGGACUUUCUGCUUAGUCCUACUGACCUGUGUUGCUUAAGUCCACAGUGCCAUGCCACACAAUGCCAGCCUUGGACUUCCAGUUAGUGCAGUCACAAGGUGGAUUUACAGCACAGCCCCAUCUCUUUCCUCUUAACUCAGCUUCUGACUCAUCUUGCUUCUGGCUCCAUUGACCAAAUAGUCCCAAAGCAGGCUGUAGGAGGGGAGAAAGGAGGAUUCCAGAACAGUGUUAGGUUCUGCCAGGAAGGAGGGAAUGGAUGCAAGGUAUGGAGGUACUGUCCACUACUGCUACUUCACAUUUCUGUGUCUCCCAGCAUACUGCAAACUCUUUGAGGAAGGGACCAUGUCAUGAUCAUUUGCAUCCCACCCCCAACAUUAUACCUGGUACAUCCUAAAACAUUGAGCAAAAAAGUAUUAUUAGAAGAUUAGCAUAAGACUCAACUGGUUAGACCUUCAGAAACAGACCAACUGAAACUGCAAUCAGAGCAGGAGUCUCUUGCUAGAACCAACAUCCUCACUGAGAAGGCUAGUGUGGCUGCUUAAGGACAGGAGUAAGGGUAAAUGAGGGAGUGGAGGGGCUACUUGGAAUGGCAAAGCAGCUGGUCAGGAGCAAGAAUCUCUCCUGGAGAAGUGAGCUGAGUCCACUGGCAGGGCCAAUGGACAAUGUUUCCUUCUAAUGAAAGGGUCCUGGAAUCUUCAGAGGUGACUCCAUAGUAAGGUGGUGUUUGCCUGAUCUUAAAAGCACAGAAGUUUUUGUUCUCUAGUUGCCAGGGCGUGGAGCAUGGCUUGCCAUCCAACUGGAACAGGGUUUUUGGCAGCAGUGCCUUUCGGUAGCAUUUUCCAGUUUGCCCCCUGCUCGAGCCAGCCACUUUCUAGACAGGCUGGGGUGGCACCUCUGUGUUCAUGCACCAGGACCACAGGUCUCACCCACUUACCUGGUAUAAGCGAUUAGCCCAGUGUUAACCUUUCAUACUCUCUGGUGAUGACUAGUUUAUAGCACCUGCAUCUGAGGAAGAAGAGGGAACUCAGAGAAACCCAAAGUUUUCCUGAAUUAUGGCUAAAACACUAAGAUUUAGUCCCAAGUAUUCCAGGACCAAAAUAGGCCCUCAUUACUGCCUUCACUUCAGAGUGACCACAUGUAGUUACAAACUCUGCAUUACACCAAGGCUCUGGCUGAGAAGCACUGGGGGCUGAAUCCAGACUGUACUCUGCUCUGUUGCUAAGCCUGGGGGUGGGGCUGCAUCCUGCAUCUGCCAUGUGGAGAGGGCCCUUUUCUUCUCAUAGAAAUACCUACUGCUUGCCAAGUCAGGGCUGUGUCUGCCCAGAGGGUCCCCUUUGUUUAACUAGCAGAGGUUCAAUAUUCCCUUCCCAUCCGGUCCCUAGGAUGAAACCAGAAACCUUGGUUGAUCUGAGAGUGUUCUAGCCCCAACAGGAAGUACGCCAGAGGCUUUCUUACUGGCAAUGAGACCACUGGAGAUGCUUGUCCUCGAUCCUGUUCUCCACCAGCUUCCCAUUCCCCUUCCUCCAGAAGGGCUGGGAUCUUGGCCUAUCUUCCUAGCCUAUCUUCUCAGCCUUGCUCAUGAAUAUCUGCAUCUUCCUGACUACUGUCUGCAGAGCAUCCUCUGACCCCUUGAUCACUCUGUUCAAUAGGGACUGUGGCUGCUCAUCCUGCUCCCCGCCUGUCCCCUGGCUCCUCGCCUGUCCCCUGGCUCCUCGCCUGGCAGUUUCCUGACUGAACUUAGCCCUGAACUUCCUUUUGUUUGUGCCUAGGCUCCUGCCUGGAUGCUGACACUAUCCCUGAAGGCUGCCAGACCUGAUACUCAGUCUUGAUUCUGGGCUUCAAAACUUGAAGGCUUCAUACAGGCAGCAGCCUAUGAUCUGGACAGAAGAGAUUGUCGUCAAUGGGUGGAGGGCCUCUGUCCAGCUCAAUAAGACAUUUUUGAGCAGCUAGACUCAACUUGCUGGGCAUGCUGGACCUCUUUACAGGUGGCCAAUUGGACCCUCCUGAUUCCAGCACUCACUCCCCACCUGGUCUUCUACUCAGAAAUCACAGGAUUCUCUCACUGUUGUCUUGAAUCCCAUUCAUCUUUCUAAUGAUUGGUCUUAGCAUUGUUUUUGACACUUUGCUCAUAGCCUCUCACUAACAUUCCUCAUAGCUUGACCCAGCUCCUGAGAUCUUCCCAACCUUAUGCAUGCCACCCCCAGAUCCUCCUUCUCCCUCCCCUCAAUCCACAGCCUAUUUUGGGGGUGGGGGCCCAGAAACUAUUUGGUUGACGGAGCUAGAGCAUGUGGAGUCAGGAGGGGAGGAUGUGCUAUGCUGAAAGUCUGCAUUUUUGCUGUCUGUCCUCCUGCUGGAUCUGAGUGGCCUGAUGCAUCAGCCACAAGAAACACAGGCCUAGACAGAAAGCCAGAGUGGAGAAGGAAUAGACCAGGUAUAUGGACUAAACGUUUGUGUCCCUCCAGCCAAAGUCAUAUGUUGAAACCCCAGCCUUCAAUGUGAUGAUGUUUGGAGGAGGAACCUGUGGGAGGUGAUUAGGGUUAGAUGAGGUCAUGAGGGUGCGUCCCUUAGAAUGGGAUCAGGGGCCUUAAAAAAAGAGGAAGAGUACCUCUCUGUCUCUGAGGGCAUGCACCAUGGAAAUGCCAUGUGAAGACACAACAAGAAGGUAGCCAUCUGCAAACUAAGGAAAGAAUCCUCCACAGACACUGACCCUGCUGGAACUUGAUCUUGGGCUUUCCCGAUUCUAAACUGAGAAAAUAAAGGUCUGUUUUUAAAGCCACCAGUCUGUGGUAUUUUGUUAUGGCAGCCCAAGCUAAGACACCAGGGGAUAUGAUCCUAACAAAAGCCUGGAGGAAAGAGUACACUUUGAAAAAUGUGUUCUGGUCCCAUUCUGUCUCCUGCUCCUUCACCUCUAGCACCACUUUGGCUGAAACUUUUAGAAAGACCAGUUUCCUUUUCCCCUUUAAUUCUUACUUCCCACUCACUCCAACACACCCUUCAAUCUGUUUUCCAAAGCUCAGCCUCAGGCUUGCCUCAGUCACCCUGGCUGCACUCACCCCUUUCCCUGCCCCUCUGCUCCCCUGAAGAUGCUCCUGGCAUUCAGUUCCACCACCACACCUGGCUCCAGUGAGGCACAAGCACCAUCAGGACAGGGAUCUUUUCUUCACCCCUCCUUUCUGUUCUCUACAGAAUCUAACAUAACUCUGGGUACAUGACACAUGAUCAGUCAAUGUUUAAUAGAUUAAUUGUAAACACAUUUUUCUAAGUAAACUAUGAGGCUCCCUUGCAUUACAAUCUUAUUGAGUGUUUUCUAAAAUGCAGAUCUUGUACUUCACCACACAAUUAGAAAAUCAGAAUUUUGGGGAGCAGAACUCAGGCAUUUGUGUUGUGGUGGAUGAAAGCUAACCACAAAUCCUUUGAUGUUUCUUCUAUCAAGAGGCAGGAUCUGUUUCUCUGACCCUUGAAACUGGAGGGAUGCUAUGUCCAUUGCAGGCCUACCCUUUGGUCUCUGGGAACUCUGGGCCACGAGAGACCCUGAGACUUCAUGGAGACAGCAAAGCUCACUGAGUUAGCUUUAUAUCUGCCCUUCCAAACUGCCCAGAAGACAACUUCGAGUGAAGUUGCCUUCUAUCCACCAGAUGAGAUCAGCCACCAGCUGAAUACUAGUGGGUGACCCUAGUCAAUCACAUGAAGCAGAAGAAUCACUCAGCUGAGCCCUGCCAGAAUUCUUGUCCUGUGAAAGCAGGAAAUGCAAUAAAAAGAGCUGUUGUUUUAAGUCUUAAUAUUUGUUACAUAGUGACAAACAAGAUACCACAAAUUCUCCAGACUAUGUUUGUGUGUCCUACAACUUAAGAGUUGUUAUUGUAACAUGAUCUGACAUUUAAUGAAUAAAAUUUUACAUUAAAGUAUAGAAAAAAA